AUUGAACGCUGGCGGCAGGCCUAACACACGCAAGUCGAACGGUAACAGGAAGAAGCUUGCUUCUUUGCUGACGAGUGGCGGACGGGUGAGUAAUGUCUGGGAAACUGCCUGAUGGAGGGGGAUAACUACUGGAAACGGUAGCUAAUACCGCAUAAUGUCGCAAGACCAAAGAGGGGGACCUUCGGGCCUCUUGCCAUCGGAUGUGCCCAGAUGGGAUUAGCUAGUAGGUGGGGUAACGGCUCACCUAGGCGACGAUCCCUAGCUGGUCUGAGAGGAUGACCAGCCACACUGGAACUGAGACACGGUCCAGACUCCUACGGGAGGCAGCAGUGGGGAAUAUUGCACAAUGGGCGCAAGCCUGAUGCAGCUAUGCCGCGUGUAUGAAGAAGGCCUUCGGGUUGUAAAGUACUUUCAGCGGGGAGGAAGGGAGUAAAGUUAAUACCUUUGCUCAUUGACGUUACCCGCAGAAGAAGCACCGGCUAACUCCGUG
RNAcentral lists this ribosomal RNA (490 nucleotides) under uncultured bacterium. RNAcentral describes it as "partial 16S ribosomal RNA". It matches the Rfam family "Bacterial small subunit ribosomal RNA", at positions 30 to 507 of the family's 1533-position model. The record is from RNAcentral.